This 447-nucleotide ribosomal RNA is filed under the name Klebsiella pneumoniae. RNAcentral describes it as "bacterial SSU rRNA". It matches the Rfam family "Bacterial small subunit ribosomal RNA", at positions 99 to 542 of the family's 1533-position model. The record is from RNAcentral. Lineage: Bacteria; Pseudomonadati; Pseudomonadota; Gammaproteobacteria; Enterobacterales; Enterobacteriaceae.
CGGACGGGUGAGUAAUGUCUGGGAAACUGCCUGAUGGAGGGGGAUAACUACUGGAAACGGUAGCUAAUACCGCAUAAUGUCGCAAGACCAAAGUGGGGGACCUUCGGGCCUCAUGCCAUCAGAUGUGCCCAGAUGGGAUUAGCUAGUAGGUGGGGUAACGGCUCACCUAGGCGACGAUCCCUAGCUGGUCUGAGAGGAUGACCAGCCACACUGGAACUGAGACACGGUCCAGACUCCUACGGGAGGCAGCAGUGGGGAAUAUUGCACAAUGGGCGCAAGCCUGAUGCAGCCAUGCCGCGUGUGUGAAGAAGGCCUUCGGGUUGUAAAGCACUUUCAGCGGGGAGGAAGGCGUUAAGGUUAAUAACCUUGGCGAUUGACGUUACCCGCAGAAGAAGCACCGGCUAACUCCGUGCCAGCAGCCGCGGUAAUACGGAGGGUGCAAGCGUU